GAUGAACGCUGGCGGCGUGCCUAAUACAUGCAAGUCGAGCGAACGGACGAGAAACUUGCUUCUCUGAUGUUAGCGGCGGACGGGUGAGUAACACGUGGAUAACCUACCUAUAAGACUGGGAUAACUUCGGGAAACCGGAGCUAAUACCGGAUAAUAUUUUGAACCGCAUGGUUCAAAAGUGAAAGACGGUCUUGCUGUCACUUAUAGAUGGAUCCGCGCUGCAUUAGCUAGUUGGUAAGGUAACGGCUUACCAAGGCAACGAUGCAUAGCCGACCUGAGAGGGUGAUCGGCCACACUGGAACUGAGACACGGUCCAGACUCCUACGGGAGGCAGCAGUAGGGAAUCUUCCGCAAAGGGCGAAAGCCUGACGGAGCAACGCCGCGUGAGUGAUGAAGGUCUUCGGAUCGUAAAACUCUGUUAUUAGGGAAGAACAUAUGUGUAAGUAACUGUGCACAUCUUGACGGUACCUAAUCAGAAAGCCACGGCUAACUACGUG
RNAcentral lists this ribosomal RNA (497 nucleotides) under uncultured bacterium. RNAcentral's name for it is "partial 16S ribosomal RNA". It matches the Rfam family "Bacterial small subunit ribosomal RNA", at positions 28 to 507 of the family's 1533-position model. The record is from RNAcentral.